This 31-nucleotide non-coding RNA is filed under the name Rattus norvegicus (Norway rat). Lineage: Eukaryota; Metazoa; Chordata; Mammalia; Rodentia; Muridae. The record is from RNAcentral.
UCAAAGGUCUGAUGGUACCGUCCAAUCUUGU